This is a long non-coding RNA of Gossypium arboreum, 481 nucleotides long. RefSeq lists it as uncharacterized. The record is from RefSeq and is a predicted model, not a curated record. NCBI's taxonomy places the organism in Eukaryota, Viridiplantae, Streptophyta, Magnoliopsida, Malvales, Malvaceae. The transcript is spliced from 3 exons.
GACUAGUUUUAUUAUUAACAAAUCAAAAAGAAAAAGCUAUCAUUUUUCUCUUCUCCUUCACCGAAAUAUGCAGCAAAGAAAGGGCUUUGAAGCUGGAAAAUUUCAGCAACAUAUUUCCCUUGCUUAUGAUGAAAAUCGAGAUUUGGACCUAGAACGAAAAGAAAUCGAUUAAGGGAUAAUUACGUCUUUUUUUUCACCUUUGUGGUAUCGAGAGUUUCCAGGUUAGCUUGGGUUGGAGGCCGUCAGAGAUAUUAUCACACUGUCAAGCUAACGCUAUUGGUGUAGUGAUCUCAAGUACUUUGAGCCUAUGGCAUGUAUAGGAGUUUAAAUAUUAGAGUAUGUGAUAUGGCUUUAACCAUAUGUGUUGGCCUAUUUGAUUAUGGGGUUGUAAAUCUAUUUUAAUUAUGCAUACAUGUGUUAUGGUAUUAUGUGAUGAGUUUAUAAUGAUUAUAGUAUGAAUGUGGUAAAGAUGUGAGUAAAA